UUAAGCGACUAAGCGUACACGGUGGAUGCCCUGGCAGUCAGAGGCGAUGAAGGACGUGCUAAUCUGCGAUAAGCGUCGGUAAGGUGAUAUGAACCGUUAUAACCGGCGAUUUCCGAAUGGGGAAACCCAGUGUGUUUCGACACACUAUCAUUAACUGAAUCCAUAGGUUAAUGAGGCGAACCGGGGGAACUGAAACAUCUAAGUACCCCGAGGAAAAGAAAUCAACCGAGAUUCCCCCAGUAGCGGCGAGCGAACGGGGAGCAGCCCAGAGCCUGAAUCAGUAUGUGUGUUAGUGGAAGCGUCUGGAAAGGCGCGCGAUACAGGGUGACAGCCCCGUACACAAAAAUGCACAUAUUGUGAGCUCGAUGAGUAGGGCGGGACACGUGGUAUCCUGUCUGAAUAUGGGGGGACCAUCCUCCAAGGCUAAAUACUCCUGACUGACCGAUAGUGAACCAGUACCGUGAGGGAAAGGCGAAAAGAACCCCGGCGAGGGGAGUGAAAAAGAACCUGAAACCGUGUACGUACAAGCAGUGGGAGCACGCUUAGGCGUGUGACUGCGUACCUUUUGUAUAAUGGGUCAGCGACUUAUAUUCUGUAGCAAGGUUAACCGAAUAGGGGAGCCGAAGGGAAACCGAGUCUUAACUGGGCGUUAAGUUGCAGGGUAUAGACCCGAAACCCGGUGAUCUAGCCAUGGGCAGGUUGAAGGUUGGGUAACACUAACUGGAGGACCGAACCGACUAAUGUUGAAAAAUUAGCGGAUGACUUGUGGCUGGGGGUGAAAGGCCAAUCAAACCGGGAGAUAGCUGGUUCUCCCCGAAAGCUAUUUAGGUAGCGCCUCGUGAAUUCAUCUCCGGGGGUAGAGCACUGUUUCGGCAAGGGGGUCAUCCCGACUUACCAACCCGAUGCAAACUGCGAAUACCGGAGAAUGUUAUCACGGGAGACACACGGCGGGUGCUAACGUCCGUCGUGAAGAGGGAAACAACCCAGACCGCCAGCUAAGGUCCCAAAGUCAUGGUUAAGUGGGAAACGAUGUGGGAAGGCCCAGACAGCCAGGAUGUUGGCUUAGAAGCAGCCAUCAUUUAAAGAAAGCGUAAUAGCUCACUGGUCGAGUCGGCCUGCGCGGAAGAUGUAACGGGGCUAAACCAUGCACCGAAGCUGCGGCAGCGACACUAUGUGUUGUUGGGUAGGGGAGCGUUCUGUAAGCCUGUGAAGGUGUGCUGUGAGGCAUGCUGGAGGUAUCAGAAGUGCGAAUGCUGACAUAAGUAACGAUAAAGCGGGUGAAAAGCCCGCUCGCCGGAAGACCAAGGGUUCCUGUCCAACGUUAAUCGGGGCAGGGUGAGUCGACCCCUAAGGCGAGGCCGAAAGGCGUAGUCGAUGGGAAACAGGUUAAUAUUCCUGUACUUGGUGUUACUGCGAAGGGGGGACGGAGAAGGCUAUGUUGGCCGGGCGACGGUUGUCCCGGUUUAAGCGGGUAGGCUGGUUUUCCAGGCAAAUCCGGAAAAUCAAGGCUGAGGCGUGAUGACGAGGCACUACGGUGCUGAAGCAACAAAUGCCCUGCUUCCAGGAAAAGCCUCUAAGCAUCAGGUAACAUCAAAUCGUACCCCAAACCGACACAGGUGGUCAGGUAGAGAAUACCAAGGCGCUUGAGAGAACUCGGGUGAAGGAACUAGGCAAAAUGGUGCCGUAACUUCGGGAGAAGGCACGCUGAUAUGUAGGUGAAGUCCCUCGCGGAUGGAGCUGAAAUCAGUCGAAGAUACCAGCUGGCUGCAACUGUUUAUUAAAAACACAGCACUGUGCAAACACGAAAGUGGACGUAUACGGUGUGACGCCUGCCCGGUGCCGGAAGGUUAAUUGAUGGGGUUAGCGCAAGCGAAGCUCUUGAUCGAAGCCCCGGUAAACGGCGGCCGUAACUAUAACGGUCCUAAGGUAGCGAAAUUCCUUGUCGGGUAAGUUCCGACCUGCACGAAUGGCGUAAUGAUGGCCAGGCUGUCUCCACCCGAGACUCAGUGAAAUUGAACUCGCUGUGAAGAUGCAGUGUACCCGCGGCAAGACGGAAAGACCCCGUGAACCUUUACUAUAGCUUGACACUGAACAUUGAGCCUUGAUGUGUAGGAUAGGUGGGAGGCUUGGAAGUGUGGACGCCAGUCUGCAUGGAGCCGACCUUGAAAUACCACCCUUUAAUGUUUGAUGUUCUAACGUUGACCCGUGAUCCGGGUUGCGGACAGUGUCUGGUGGGUAGUUUGACUGGGGCGGUCUCCUCCUAAAGAGUAACGGAGGAGCACGAAGGUUGGCUAAUCCUGGUCGGACAUCAGGAGGUUAGUGCAAUGGCAUAAGCCAGCUUGACUGCGAGCGUGACGGCGCGAGCAGGUGCGAAAGCAGGUCAUAGUGAUCCGGUGGUUCUGAAUGGAAGGGCCAUCGCUCAACGGAUAAAAGGUACUCCGGGGAUAACAGGCUGAUACCGCCCAAGAGUUCAUAUCGACGGCGGUGUUUGGCACCUCGAUGUCGGCUCAUCACAUCCUGGGGCUGAAGUAGGUCCCAAGGGUAUGGCUGUUCGCCAUUUAAAGUGGUACGCGAGCUGGGUUUAGAACGUCGUGAGACAGUUCGGUCCCUAUCUGCCGUGGGCGCUGGAGAACUGAGGGGGGCUGCUCCUAGUACGAGAGGACCGGAGUGGACGCAUCACUGGUGUUCGGGUUGUCAUGCCAAUGGCACUGCCCGGUAGCUAAAUGCGGAAGAGAUAAGUGCUGAAAGCAUCUAAGCACGAAACUUGCCCCGAGAUGAGUUCUCCCUGACCCUUUAAGGGUCCUGAAGGAACGUUGAAGACGACGACGUUGAUAGGCCGGGUGUGUAAGCGCAGCGAUGCGUUGAGCUAACCGGUACUAAUGAACCGUGAGGCUUAACCUU
This 2901-nucleotide ribosomal RNA is filed under the name Escherichia coli. RNAcentral's name for it is "bacterial LSU rRNA". It matches the Rfam family "Bacterial large subunit ribosomal RNA". Lineage: Bacteria; Pseudomonadati; Pseudomonadota; Gammaproteobacteria; Enterobacterales; Enterobacteriaceae. The record is from RNAcentral.